RNAcentral lists this ribosomal RNA (853 nucleotides) under uncultured bacterium. Its description in RNAcentral is "bacterial SSU rRNA". It matches the Rfam family "Bacterial small subunit ribosomal RNA", at positions 28 to 896 of the family's 1533-position model. The record is from RNAcentral.
GACGAACGCUGGCGGCGUGCUUAACACAUGCAAGUCGAGCGAUGAAACACCUUCGGGUGUGAAUUAGCGGCGAACGGGUGAGGAACACGUGAGAAAUCUGCCUUCAACUCUGGGAUAACUCCGGGAAACCGGGGCUAAUACCGGAUAUGAGCCUUGAUCGCAUGAUCGGGGCUGGAAAGUUUUUCGGUUGAAGAUGAUCUCGCGGCCUAUCAGCUUGUUGGUGAGGUAAUGGCUCACCAAGGCGACGACGGGUAGCCGGCCUGAGAGGGCGACCGGCCACACUGGGACUGAGACACGGCCCAGACUCCUACGGGAGGCAGCAGUGGGGAAUAUUGGGCAAUGGAGGAAACUCUGACCCAGCGACGCCGCGUGAGGGAUGAAGGCCUUCGGGUUGUAAACCUCUUUCAGUAGGGAAGAAGCGAAAGUGACGGUACCUACAGAAGAAGCACCGGCUAACUAUGUGCCAGCAGCCGCGGUAAUACAUAGGGUGCAAGCGUUGUCCGGAAUUAUUGGGCGUAAAGAGCUCGUAGGUGGUUAGAUACGUCGGAUGUGAAAAUCAGGGGCUCAACCCCUGACCUGCAUUCGAUACGGUCUAGCUAGAGUGUGGUAGGGGAGACUGGAAUUCCUGGUGUAGCGGUGGAAUGCGCAGAUAUCAGGAGGAACACCGAUGGCGAAGGCAGGUCUCUGGGCCAUUACUGACACUGAGGAGCGAAAGCGUGGGGAGCGAACAGGAUUAGAUACCCUGGUAGUCCACGCCGUAAACGGUGGGCGCUAGUUGUGCGAACCUUCCACGGUUUGUGCGACGCAGCUAACGCAUUAAGCGCCCCGCCUGGGGAGUACGAUCGCAAGAUUA